UACGGAGGAUCCAAGCGUUAUCCGGAAUCAUUGGGUUUAAAGGGUGCGUAGGCGGCCCUGUAAGUCAGCGGUGAAAUACCCACGCUCAACGUGGGAACUGCCGUUGAUACUGCGGGGCUUGAGUUCGUGCGAGGUCGCUGGAAUGCGUGGUGUAGCGGUGAAAUGCAUAGAUAUCACGCAGAACACCGAUUGCGAAGGCAGGUGACUGGCACGCGACUGACGCUGAGGCACGAAAGUGUGGGGAGCAAACAGG
This 253-nucleotide ribosomal RNA is filed under the name uncultured bacterium. RNAcentral describes it as "partial 16S ribosomal RNA". It matches the Rfam family "Bacterial small subunit ribosomal RNA", at positions 524 to 776 of the family's 1533-position model. The record is from RNAcentral.